RNAcentral lists this ribosomal RNA (271 nucleotides) under uncultured archaeon. RNAcentral's name for it is "partial 16S ribosomal RNA". It matches the Rfam family "Archaeal small subunit ribosomal RNA", at positions 477 to 747 of the family's 1478-position model. The record is from RNAcentral.
CAGCGCCACGAGUGGCAACCAUGUUUAUUGGGCCUAAAGCGUUCGUAGCCGGCUUUGUAAAUCUUCUGUGAAAUCGUCUCGCUUAACGAAACGACGUGCAAGAGACACUGCAAGGCUUGAGACCGGGAGGAGCUAGAAGUAUUCUUGGGGGAGCGGUAAAAUGUUAUAAUCCCUUGAAGACUACCUGUGGCGAAGGCGUCUAGCUAGAACGGUGCUGACGGUGAGGGACGAAAGCCAGGGGAGCGAUCCGGAUUAGAUACCCGAGUAGUCC